Tinamus guttatus (white-throated tinamou) is the source of this 205-nucleotide non-coding RNA. The record is from RefSeq and is a predicted model, not a curated record. Lineage: Eukaryota; Metazoa; Chordata; Aves; Tinamiformes; Tinamidae.
GAAUGGUGUCUCCCUGGUGCCUAUGUGCAAGGAGCCUUCAGUAGGUGAGUCCUUCCCUCCCUGCGUGUACAGAGCUGCUGAGCCUCCUUAGGAAGAGGAAGAUUGCCUUGCCGUAAUAAACACCGUUGAUCUCUUUGCGGUAGCCAAGGAAGGGCAUGAUGGAGUCGAUCAGGCCAUGUGGCAUCUGAUCCAUUUCGGAGAAGAU